CCGGGAAGGAAAAGCUCCAGCUGGGACAACAGCUCACUGUGCAGACUCUUCCUGUUGAGCAGCCACACUGUCCGCUGUCUUGGGGCCACUGGACAUACCCACGGGCCAACCUGAUAAAGACAAUUCCUCAAUCGAACUCUCUUCCCAGAUGCCCAAGGCAACCAAAAGAGGGUAUCCUAACCCUUGGAGCUGAAGUUACAGGAGGUUGUGAGCUGCCUGACAUGGGUAAGAAGGAGUAAGCACUCCUAACCUCUGAACCACAUCUCUACCCCUGGCUACAAGUUAGCAUUUUAAACUAACUUCAAGUUAAUACCUGAAACUAACCAUCAGCCUCCUUAUUGACUUUAAAAAAAGAAAAAAAUUCUACUACAUUUCUUUAUUUUAUAGGGGAGGGUGUAUACAUGCCAUGUGUUCUUGUCCAGGUCAGAGAACAAUUUGUGGGAAGCUGCUUUCUCCGUUCUGUGGGUCCCUAGGAUCAAACCCAGGUCAUCAGGCUUGGCAGAAAAAUGUCUUUAACUGCUGAAACAUCUUGCUGACACUCGUUGACUUUUAUUACUGAUACGUGUGUGGACUGAAAUGAAAUAGAGAGAGCUCCUUCCAGAACAGUGCAAUGAGCAUCUCCAAAGUUCUCCUUAAGAAAUUUCAAUUAAAGCAAUGUGCUGUGGGACAGUCUGUAUGUGAAAUUGCUCUGAUUGGUCAAUAAAUAAAACACUGGUUGGCCAGUGGCCAGGCAGGAAGUAGGU
This is a non-coding RNA of Peromyscus maniculatus bairdii (prairie deer mouse), 743 nucleotides long. The record is from RefSeq and is a predicted model, not a curated record. Lineage: Eukaryota; Metazoa; Chordata; Mammalia; Rodentia; Cricetidae.